AUCUUAUCAAGAGCAGGUGGAGGGACUGGCCCGAUGAAACCCGGCAACCGGCGGUAAACGCACGGUGCUAAUUCUUGCAGAGACGUAUCCAGCAGCAAUUGUCUGGAAUGCGUGACUCUGGCAGAUGAGAG
This 131-nucleotide non-coding RNA is filed under the name Paenibacillus stellifer. RNAcentral describes it as "SAM-I sequence". It matches the Rfam family "SAM riboswitch aptamer (S box leader)". Rfam says of the family: The SAM riboswitch is found upstream of a number of genes which code for proteins involved in methionine or cysteine biosynthesis in Gram-positive bacteria. The SAM riboswitch acts at the level of transcription termination control. The predicted structure consists of a complex stem-loop region followed by a single stem loop terminator region. The record is from Rfam by way of RNAcentral. Lineage: Bacteria; Bacillati; Bacillota; Bacilli; Caryophanales; Paenibacillaceae.